This 460-nucleotide ribosomal RNA is filed under the name uncultured bacterium. RNAcentral's name for it is "partial 16S ribosomal RNA". It matches the Rfam family "Bacterial small subunit ribosomal RNA", at positions 338 to 795 of the family's 1533-position model. The record is from RNAcentral.
CCUACGGGUGACAGCAGUGAGGAAUAUUGGUCAAUGGACGCAAGUCUGAACCAGCCAUGCCGCGUGCAGGAAGACGGCCCUAUGAGUUGUAAACUGCUUUUGUACGAGGGUAAACGCAGAUACGUGUAUCUUUCUGAACGUAUCUUACGAAUAAGGAUCGGCUAACUCCGUGCCAGCAGCCGCGGUAAUACGGAGGAUUCAAGCGUUAUCCGGAUUUAUUGGGUUUAAAGGGUGCGUAGGCGGUCGGAUAAGUUAGAGGUGAAAUCCCGAGGCUCAACUUCGGAAUUGCCUCUGAUACUGUUAGGCUAGAGAGUAGUUGCGGUAGGCGGAAUGUAUGGUGUAGCGGUGAAAUGCGUAGAGAUCAUACAGAACACCGAUUGCGAAGGCAGCUUACCAAGCUACGUCUGACGUUGAGGCACGAAAGCGUGGGGAGCAAACAGGAUUAGAUACCCUUGUAGUC